Molecule: long non-coding RNA, 76 nt
Organism: Amblyraja radiata (thorny skate)
Lineage: Eukaryota; Metazoa; Chordata; Chondrichthyes; Rajiformes; Rajidae
Exons: 3
Source: RefSeq, a predicted model, not a curated record
UACCAUUCACUUGUAAGCUACUCAAGUGAAAUACAAGCUGCUGUUCCUCCAGUUUGCAUGUGGCCUCACUCCAGCA